CCAGCUAUCCCAUUAGCUGUAGCCUACCGGGAAAGGCGCUGCCCGGCACGGCGGGGUCUGAAGCUCCCGGGACAACGAGAGCCGGGCGUCAGCCCGGGUAAAGCCCCGUGAGGGGCUUUACCUUGCUGCAAGCAUCAUGUGGCAGGAGAG
Molecule: non-coding RNA, 150 nt
Organism: Escherichia coli
Lineage: Bacteria; Pseudomonadati; Pseudomonadota; Gammaproteobacteria; Enterobacterales; Enterobacteriaceae
Source: Rfam